CCUACGGGAGGCAGCAGUGAGGAAUAUUGGUCAAUGGACGAGAGCCUGAACCAGCCAAGUAGCGUGAAGGAUGACUGCCCUACGGGUUGUAAACUUCUUUUAUAUGGGAAUAAAACGUUCUACGUGUGGGACUUUGUAUGUACCAUAUGAAUAAGGAUCGGCUAAUUCCGUGCCAGCAGCCGCGGUAAUACGGAGGAUCCGAGCGUUAUCCGGAUUUAUUGGGUUUAAAGGGAGCGUAGGUGGAUUGUUAAGUCAGUUGUGAAAGUUUGCGGCUCAACCGUAAAAUUGCAGUUGAAACUGGCAGUCUUGAGUACAGUAGAGGUGGGCGGAAUUCGUGGUGUAGCGGUGAAAUGCUUAGAUAUGACGAAGAACUCCGAUUGCGAAGGCAGUUCGCUGGAGUGCAACUGACGCUGAGGCUCGAAAGUGUGGGUAUCAAACAGGAUUAGAUACCCGAGUAGUC
This 460-nucleotide ribosomal RNA is filed under the name uncultured bacterium. RNAcentral describes it as "partial 16S ribosomal RNA". It matches the Rfam family "Bacterial small subunit ribosomal RNA", at positions 338 to 795 of the family's 1533-position model. The record is from RNAcentral.